RNAcentral lists this transfer RNA (63 nucleotides) under Cymbium olla (pot-bellied volute). RNAcentral describes it as "tRNA-Trp". It matches the Rfam family "tRNA". Rfam says of the family: Transfer RNA (tRNA) molecules are approximately 80 nucleotides in length. Their secondary structure includes four short double-helical elements and three loops (D, anti-codon, and T loops). The record is from RNAcentral. Lineage: Eukaryota; Metazoa; Mollusca; Gastropoda; Neogastropoda; Volutidae.
AAGGUUUUAAGUUAUUUAAACUAUAAGCCUUCAAAGCUUAAAAUAAAGAUCGACUUUAAAUCU